AUUUGAAUGCAGGUGUGUAUUUGUGUUGGUAUUUGAAUGCUGGAAUAUAUGAACAUAUACACAUUCACUGCCACACACAUACUGACAUAGAUACAUAAAAUACAGAUUAGGGAAAUAUGCACACAGAAAAUACAGUUAACAUUUUACUAGGCUACUUAAAAUCAGCCCAAUAGAUUCCAAAUUUACACAGAAAAAAAGUGGAAUUGGAGUCACACCCAGAAC
Pelobates cultripes (western spadefoot toad) is the source of this 222-nucleotide non-coding RNA. Lineage: Eukaryota; Metazoa; Chordata; Amphibia; Anura; Pelobatidae. The record is from the annotation of a GenBank genome assembly.